GGAGGGAUACCCAAGCGGCCAACGGGGGCAGACUGUAAAUCUGCUGUCUUACGACUUCGGUGGUUCGAAUCCACCUCCCUCCACCA
RNAcentral lists this transfer RNA (86 nucleotides) under Stenotrophomonas sp. Its description in RNAcentral is "tRNA-Tyr". It matches the Rfam family "tRNA". From Rfam's summary of the family: Transfer RNA (tRNA) molecules are approximately 80 nucleotides in length. The record is from RNAcentral. RNAcentral also lists the same sequence under 4 other names. Lineage: Bacteria; Pseudomonadati; Pseudomonadota; Gammaproteobacteria; Lysobacterales; Lysobacteraceae.